RNAcentral lists this long non-coding RNA (681 nucleotides) under Solanum tuberosum (potato). RNAcentral's name for it is "long non-coding RNA (STUB_LNC004174)". Lineage: Eukaryota; Viridiplantae; Streptophyta; Magnoliopsida; Solanales; Solanaceae. The record is from RNAcentral.
CCUAUCACUUGUGUGAUUUAUUACUGGUCUCUUCAUCAAGUUAUACAAAUCCACCAAGUCUAUCACCUAUCUCUCUGAAAAAUGAAAAUAUAUUUUAUGACUAGUUCCAUCUGAUUUAUUACUGGUCUCUUAAGAGCUGGCUCUUGAUUACUUCUACCUGCAAGUAACUCCAUUUCUUCUGAUUCCGAGUUGGUACCUCCAAUAGACAAACUCCUUCCUCCCACAAAUGCCAUCAUUUUAUCAGCAAACUCAUCCGAGCUAACAUCUUCCCCAAUUUUGGGGAUCAUCCCCACUUAUAAAAUACUGCUACAUCUACCAUAAGCAUUAAAAUUUUGGAAGACGAAGUAUGAGUAUAGCUGAUCAAAGUUCCUCUAUCUCCUACAGAUUUUCCCAGUACCUUCUGAAGCGCUAGUCUCAAGCAUUUGCAAAAAAACAAUAAUGUUGAAUCUGUCAGCAGAAUUUAUGGAAUAAAGUUAUUGUUCCUCUGUAUGAGCUCAUACCAAUUAUCAGCAAUUUCCUUGAUUUUGAAGAAUUUGUCUCCCGCCAAAAAAAGAAGCAGCACUUCUCACCAUGAUGCCUUAUUUACCUUGCCACUAUCACCACUUAAGUUACUCCAUGAUUGUUAUAGAACUAAUAAAAGCAAAGUAUGAAAUAGGCAAGAAUUUAUGUGGAUAAGGACUG